AGGAUGAACGCUGGCGGCGUGCCUAACACAUGCAAGUCGAACGGGGAGCUUAUUUCGGUAGGCUUCUAGUGGCGAACGGGUGAGUAACACGUUGGUGACCUGCCCCGAAGUGGGGGACAACUCCUCGAAAGAGGAGCUAAUACCCCGGAUGUCUGAGUGGUUAGAAGACUUAGACUAAAGUUUUCGGAAUGCUUUGGGAGGGCCUGCGGGCUAUCAGCUAGUUGGUGAGGUAAGGCUCACCAAGGCGAAGACGGCGUAGGGGGCGUGAGAGCGUCGACCCCCCA
This 284-nucleotide ribosomal RNA is filed under the name uncultured soil bacterium. Its description in RNAcentral is "partial 16S ribosomal RNA". It matches the Rfam family "Bacterial small subunit ribosomal RNA", at positions 26 to 310 of the family's 1533-position model. The record is from RNAcentral.